UGCGAGGUCUUAAACUCAGCCUAAUCUCUCAGAGAAUGGGAAAGAAGAGGGACUUCCUUUGGAUUAUUUUCCUAAGGAAUCACCAACCUGUUGUGAACUAUCAGUCCUUUUCCUCUAUGUUCCUUCUGUCUGAUCUAGGAAGGAAGAAGCUUGGAAGCCGGCCCAACAAAAUAAUUUUACUCAUUAAUUUACUCACGCUGUAUCUCUUUUCUUCUAUUCUUACACCUCGCCAUCCACUCAUUCAUCUGUGCAUCCAUUCAUCUGUCCAUCCAUACAGCCAUUUUCCCAUUCAUCCCUCUGCACUUCCUUUCUCCAUUCUUCUAUCUUUUCAUCCAUCUGUUUCUUUUAUUCAUUCACCUGUCCAUCCACCUGUUAACUCUCCAUCCAUCCUUCUUUCCAUUCAUCUCUCCCAUUCAUCCAUUUUUCUGCUUGUCUGUCUCUUCUUCCUUCUGUCCUUCCAUCUUCUCGUGUGUCUACCCAUCAUCCAUUCAUUCUUCUGUUCUUUCUUGCAUCAUUUCAGCCAACCAUCCUUCCAUUCAUUCAGUUAUUGGCUCUUUUAUCUACUCUUUCUUGAUCACUCACUUAUUCAUUCACCAAAUCAUUCAUUUAAAAAACUUUUUUGAGACCCACUAUGCACCAGACCCUGGAGUGUCAGAGAUAAAUAUGAUUCUGCUUCCAGACCUGUAUAAAGGGCCCUGGAGGGGAUCACCUAUCCAGUUCCAAGAUCCCACAGUCUCCUCAAGGCUGUCAUUCCCUGCUCUGAUAACCACAGGUAGCUAUGGAAAAGAGUGGAAAAAGUGAAGUGUUUCCAAGGAGCCGGAGACAGUAGGGAACCAGCUGUUGCUAUGGCAAGCAGCCAGCCACCCCCUGUGCUGAGGGACCUGGGAGAGACUCAGGCAGCUCCGGGACUGUUCCUGCCCUGAGGUCCACAGCUUCGUCUUCAUCUAGUGCCCGUGCUCCCUGACUGUACAGAACUCCUCUUUCCAGAGCCUCUGGGGAUGGCAGGGAAAUCCCACAGCUUGGGAUCCUGCAGAACAAACAAGUGGGGAGAAGUCUGCAGUUUUGAGAUGGAUGGAACAAGUCUCCUUGUUGUGCUGAGGCUGAAAAUAGCUUUAUAUUUCCACUCAGUGCCAGCUGGGAGUCAUGGCUCUUCUGACAUCUUCCUCCAACUCAGGGCUUUCCAGAUUUCAUCUCCUAAACGCACUCUUGUGGCCUUUGUCUUAUUCUCCUUACCGUACUCUUAUUUUUUAAAUUAACUUCCCACCUUCCCUUUUUUUUAGACUUAAAUAAAAUUAUUUGAAAAGGAAA
Molecule: long non-coding RNA, 1308 nt
Organism: Galeopterus variegatus (Sunda flying lemur)
Lineage: Eukaryota; Metazoa; Chordata; Mammalia; Dermoptera; Cynocephalidae
Exons: 3
Source: RefSeq, a predicted model, not a curated record